Molecule: non-coding RNA, 29 nt
Filed under: Rattus norvegicus (Norway rat)
Lineage: Eukaryota; Metazoa; Chordata; Mammalia; Rodentia; Muridae
Source: RNAcentral
UGUGAUUUGUGGCUUCUAUGGACCACUUU